Long non-coding RNA from Sinocyclocheilus rhinocerous, 227 nucleotides. RefSeq lists it as uncharacterized. NCBI's taxonomy places the organism in Eukaryota, Metazoa, Chordata, Actinopteri, Cypriniformes, Cyprinidae. The transcript has 3 exons. The record is from RefSeq and is a predicted model, not a curated record.
UGAUUAAUUGCAAAUCCGUCUUCUUUGAAAUGAGUGUUUAAUGCAAGGAGCCGCUCAGUACGGAAAACUUUAAGCCACUAGCUGCCGUGUUGGUUUGUAGCAGUUAGUGUCGCUGAGACGCCUGGAGUCAUUUUUGGCUGGAUAUGCAGCUACUCUAACAUCUAAUGAACAGCAGAGCGGUUUACAAGAUGAGUUCAACGGCAGACGAGACCGGAGGUGAAAGACCU